UACAGAGGAUGCAAGCGUUAUCCGGAAUGAUUGGGCGUAAAGCGUCUGUAGGUGGCUUUUUAAGUUCGCCGUCAAAUCCCAGGGCUCAACCCUGGACAGGCGGUGGAAACUACCAAGCUGGAGUACGGUAGGGGCAGAGGGAAUUUCCGGUGGAGCGGUGAAAUGCGUAGAUAUCGGAAGGAACACCAGUGGCGAAAGCGGCUUCCUGGUCCAGCACCGACGUUCAGGCACGAAAGCGUGGGGAGCAAACAGG
This 253-nucleotide ribosomal RNA is filed under the name uncultured bacterium. RNAcentral's name for it is "partial 16S ribosomal RNA". It matches the Rfam family "Bacterial small subunit ribosomal RNA", at positions 524 to 776 of the family's 1533-position model. The record is from RNAcentral.